GAAGCGGCAACAGCUCAAAUUUGAAAUCUGGCGCAAGCCCGAGUUGUAAUUUGUAGAGGAUGCUUCAGGGCAGCGGCCGGUCUAAGUUCCUUGGAACAGGACGUCAUAGAGGGUGAGAAUCCCGUAUGCGACCGGUUGGCACCCGUCACGUAGCUCCUUCGACGAGUCGAGUUGUUUGGGAAUGCAGCUCUAAAUGGGAGGUAAAUUUCUUCUAAAGCUAAAUACCGGCCAGAGACCGAUAGCGCACAAGUAGAGUGAUCGAAAGAUGAAAAGCACUUUGGAAAGAGAGUUAAAAAGCACGUGAAAUUGUUGAAAGGGAAGCGCAUGCAACCAGACUUGUCGGCGGUGUUCCGCCGGUCUUCUGACCGGUCUACUCGCCGCCGGCAGGCCAGCAUCAUCUGGGCGCGCCGGAUAAAGGCGCGGGGAAUGUGGCUCCUCGGAGCGUUAUAGCCCCGCGCACAAUACGGCGCCGCUCGGGUGAGGUCCGCGCUUCGGCUAGGAUGCUGGCGUAAUGGUUGUCUGCGGCCCGUCUUGAAACACGGACCAAGGAGUCUAACAUCUAUGCGAGUGUUCGGGUGUCAAACCCCUACGCGUAAUGAAAGUGAACGGAGGUGGGAAGCGCAAGCUGCACCAUCGACCGAUCCUGAUGUCUUCGGAUGGAUUUGAGUAAGAGCAUAGCUGUUGGGACCCGAAAGAUGGUGAACUAUGCCUGAAUAGGGUGAAGCCAGAGGAAACUCUGGUGGA
This 744-nucleotide ribosomal RNA is filed under the name Teratosphaeria zuluensis. RNAcentral's name for it is "eukaryotic LSU rRNA". It matches the Rfam family "Eukaryotic large subunit ribosomal RNA", at positions 95 to 871 of the family's 3401-position model. Lineage: Eukaryota; Fungi; Ascomycota; Dothideomycetes; Mycosphaerellales; Teratosphaeriaceae. The record is from RNAcentral.